UCUUGUAGUGAAAAUGUCCCAAGAAGAGGAAGCAUCAUGAAGAGGCUAGCAGGCGCUGUGCUGGGGCUUCUGUUUGCCCAGGUUUGCUGUGUGCGAGGGGCGGAUGUGGAGCAGAGUCCCCCAGCCCUGAGUCUCCAGGAGGGAGCCAGCUACACGCUUCGGUGGACAAAGCAGGAAGGAAGAUUAAAGGCCACCACAGUCCCUGCAGAACGCCGCAGCUCACUGCACAUUUCCUCUCCGUGGACCACAGACUCGGGCACUUACUUCUGUGCUGCGCAGCACGGUGCUCCCCAGGCACCUGCAGCCUCUACACGAACCUGCCGCCGAGGCUCCAGACACGCCCUGCUGUGUAGAUGA
Molecule: non-coding RNA, 357 nt
Organism: Cervus elaphus (red deer)
Lineage: Eukaryota; Metazoa; Chordata; Mammalia; Artiodactyla; Cervidae
Source: the annotation of a RefSeq genome assembly